AAUCAACGCUGGCGGCGUGCCUAACACAUGCAAGUCGCACGAGAAAGGGACUUCGGUCCUGAGUACAGUGGCGCACGGGUGAGUAACACGUGAAUAAUCUACCUCCGAGUGGGGAAUAACUGAGAGAAAUCUUAGCUAAUACCGCAUAACACUUACGAGUCAAAGCAGCAAUGCGCUUGGAGAGGAGUUCGCGGCAGAUUAGUUAGUUGGCAGGGUAAUGGCCUACCAAGACGAUGAUCUGUAUCCGGCCUGAGAGGGCGCACGGACACACUGGAACUGAAACACGGUCCAGACUCCUACGGGAGGCAGCAGUGGGGAAUUUUGCGCAAUGGGGGAAACCCUGACGCAGCAACGCCGCGUGGAGGAUGAAAUCCCUUGGGAUGUAAACUCCUUUCGAUCGGGAAGAUAAUGACGGUACCGAGAGAAGAAGCCCCGGCUAACUUCGUGCCAGCCG
Molecule: ribosomal RNA, 454 nt
Filed under: uncultured bacterium
Lineage: Bacteria
Description: bacterial SSU rRNA
Rfam family: Bacterial small subunit ribosomal RNA
Source: RNAcentral